UACGUAGGGCGCGAGCGUUGUCCGGAAUUAUUGGGCGUAAAGAGCUUGUAGGCGGUUUGUCGCGUCUGCUGUGAAAGCCCGGGGCUUAACCCCGGGUUUGCAGUGGGUACGGGCAGACUAGAGUGCAGUAGGGGAGACUGGAAUUCCUGGUGUAGCGGUGGAAUGCGCAGAUAUCAGGAGGAACACCGAUGGCGAAGGCACAUCUCUGGGCCGUAACUGACGCUGAGGAGCGAAAGCGUGGGGAGCGAACAGGAUUAGAAACCCCUGUAGUCC
Molecule: ribosomal RNA, 273 nt
Filed under: uncultured Rothia sp.
Lineage: Bacteria; Bacillati; Actinomycetota; Actinomycetes; Micrococcales; Micrococcaceae
Description: partial 16S ribosomal RNA
Rfam family: Bacterial small subunit ribosomal RNA
Source: RNAcentral